GACGAACGCUGGCGGCGUGCUUAACACAUGCAAGUCAAGGGGGCCCAGCAAUGGGCAACCGGCGAACGGGUGCGUAACACGUGAGCAACCUACCGAACUGUGGGGGAUAGCCGGCCUAACGGCCGAGUAAUACCGCAUACGCUCUCAGUGAGGCAUUUCAUUGAGAGGAAACCUACGGGACAGAUCGAGGGGCUCGCGGCCUAUCAGCUAGUUGGCGAGGUAACGGCUCACCAAGGCAACGACGGGUAGCUGGUCUGAGAGGAUGGCCAGCCACAUUGGGACUGAGAUACGGCCCAGACUCCUACGGGAGGCAGCAGUGGGGAAUCUUGCGCAAUGGCCUAACGGCUGACGCAGCGACGCCGCGUGUGGGAUGAAGCUCUUCGGAGUGUAAACCACUGUUGCCCGGGACGAACAGCUCGAUUAGUCGAGCCUGACGGUACCGGGUGAGGAAGCACCGGCUAACUCCGUGCCAGCAGCCGCGGUAAUACGGGGGGUGCGAGCGUUGUCCGGAAUCACUGGGCGUAAAGGGCGCGUAGGUGGUUUGAUAAGGGUGUGGUGAAAGUCCGGGGCUCAACCCCGGAUCUGCCGUGCCGACUGUCAAACUCGAGGACUGUAGAGGCAGACGGAAUUCCGGGUGUAGCGGUGGAAUGCGUAGAGAUCCGGAGGAAGACCGGUGGCGAAGGCGGUCUGCUGGGCAGUUUCUGACACUGAGGCGCGACAG
Molecule: ribosomal RNA, 721 nt
Filed under: uncultured soil bacterium
Lineage: Bacteria
Description: bacterial SSU rRNA
Rfam family: Bacterial small subunit ribosomal RNA
Source: RNAcentral